AGAGAUUAAUCUUAUGCUGAUUACAGGCUUCUCAUGUCUGAUAUCCAGGGACCAUUUUUACCGGCAAUAAUGGCACCCCCUUUAUAGUCAGUCUCUCAGACUGUGCAAAGCUCACUGUCGCGCCUUCUCGGGGUGCCCACCACUACUUGUUUGGAGUCUUUAGAUGACAGAGAUGAAAACCUAAGGAUUUUCUCUCAUAUUUGUGCUUCCUCCAAAUAAUUAAUUUAAAGCAGUGAAUGGCCUUCUCUCUCUCGCGCUAUCAUGUGUCUGUGUGUGUGAAUCAAGUAGGAGGGAUCAAUAUUGAAGAUGCCGAAGAACCAGCUCUGAUGAUCUGAUAGUUGCAUGAGGCUUCUUUCUCAGCCACUUACAGAAACAAGUGAUAAAGGAUCCAUUUGGAAACAUCAACCAGAAUUUAGAAAGCAAUUAAGGGUUUUGAAGUUGGAAUCCACGUACCUCCCAAACCGCGAAAGCUUAAUCAUUUGCAUUGGUGAAAGCAUAUAUGAGUACGUUUUUCCAAAGAUGAGAAAGAAACUGCAUGCGUACGUCUAUACUAAUCCUUUGCGGGGUUAAAGCUAUUAGCUAGCUAGCUAGGUUCUGCCUUCAACUUGCAGCUCUCUGCAUAUCUCUUUCCAGGAAAGCUGUGUGGUCCUCUUUCUAUUCAGUGGGUACUCUUUGAAAAGAAAAUAUAUUGGUCCCUCGCACCUAUAAGAUAGCUUCUACUUGUCUGAGGUAGCUUUCAUACACAUCAAGAUGACAAUGCUCUUACAGUAUAGACCACAACUUUUCUAAGCCAUGAAUUGACUUGUCAUGGUGGAUUUCUUUUUGUCUCUAAAACCUUCUCCCAUGCGAAACCUAAACUGCAUACAUACAUACAUAUAUAUAUAUAUAU
Molecule: long non-coding RNA, 889 nt
Organism: Juglans regia (Persian walnut)
Lineage: Eukaryota; Viridiplantae; Streptophyta; Magnoliopsida; Fagales; Juglandaceae
Exons: 3
Source: RefSeq, a predicted model, not a curated record